RNAcentral lists this small RNA (1587 nucleotides) under Pongo abelii (Sumatran orangutan). RNAcentral describes it as "retained intron". The record is from RNAcentral. Lineage: Eukaryota; Metazoa; Chordata; Mammalia; Primates; Hominidae.
GAGCGCCGCCAUGCUUUUGUACGGCAGGAUCGCAAAGCACGCCGGGACCGGUUGGUUUGGUUUUGAAGACGUGGAUGGCGGGAAUUCUCGCUCCUGGCCUGGCAAGGACAUUGAGGUCCCUAUCACCGCUUGCCUAGACAACUUCAUGGGAAGGCCCUUGGGAAUCUGAGAUGGAGCAGGCGAACCCUUUACGUCCAGAUGGCGAGUCCAAAGGAGGUGUUUUAGCUCACUUGGAAAGGCUAGAGACCCAAGUGAGCAGAUCCCGUAAACAGUCUGAAGAGCUGCAGAGUGUGCAGGCCCAGGAAGGUGCUCUUGGAACCAAGAUUCAUAAACUAAGGCGUUUGCGAGAUGAGCUGAGGGCUGCGGUGCGGCACCGGCGAGCCAGCGUGAAAGCAUGUAUUGCCAAUGUAGAACCCAACCAAACAGUGGAGAUCAAUGAGCAGGAAGCACUGGAAGAGAAAUUGGGAAAUGUGAAAGCCAUUCUGCAGGCAUAUCAUUUUACAGGCCUCAGUGGUAAACUGACCAGCCGAGGAGUUUGCGUCUGCAUCAAUACUGCUUUUGAGGGGAACCUAUUGGAUUCCUAUUUUGUGGACCUUGUCAUACAGAAACCACUCCGGAUACAUCACCAUUCAGUCCCAGUCUUCAUUCCUCUGGAAGAGAUAGCUGCAAAAUAUUUACAGACCAACAUCCAGCACUUCCUGUUCAGUCUCUGCGAGUACCUGAAUGCUUACUCUGGGAGGAAGUACCAGGCAGACCGGCUUCAGGUAUCUCUUUGGGAUGUUAUAUGCCUCAUCUGUGGGCCCAAGAUCAACUUAAAAGGGGAAAAGGGGGAUGUUUUUUGUACUUUCAGUGUUUCCUAACUCUGAGUUAGAAGUUUGACCAUUACCUUUCCGAUGCUUGUUUCUUAUUUAUAUAAAAGCACUAUCCCACCCUCUUUUCUUUUGAAACUCUGGAUGGCAUUGAAGCUUGGGUACUGGUUAAAGGAUUAUGCACCCCUGAAUGGUGGUCUUCAAGCUUUUAUCGUAAGAUUGUACAGAGUGCAGUUGCUAUACCUUUGAUCCAUCAAGGAUUUAUGGCGUGCCUACUACGUACUAUACUGAGUGCCUUGCUGAACCUUGGGUAUAGAUCUCAUCAGAGAAGAAGGGUUUCUGCAUUGCCAUGGAAGAAUGCUGUCCAUCUUCCCCUAAACUCUAGCCUACCUUUUUGGGUUGCAGUUGAGCUAAGGUUGGGUGAAAAAAGUAGAUAGGAAAUUAAUGCAAAUAGGUUGUAAGUGCCUCCUACAAGCUUAGCAUUUCCCCCUCUAUGGAUUUGGAGUAACUCUGAAGCUCUCAGUUAUAGGUUUAACUUAAAUUGAAAUGUGGAUGCAGUCAUGAAGCAUCUUAGCCGUGUAACGUCAGUGAUGAUUUUGCAGAAACAGUCUUUUGCGAAGCUGUACCCCUGGCCAUUUAGGCCUGUAGGCCUUUCCAGGCUGCCACUGACUCUCAGUUACCUUACACAUCUUUUUCAUUAGUCCUUUUUUCAGACCUUUUUCUAUCCCUCAUUUAUUUCUUUGAAAUGUAAUUGAUGGGCCUCUUUUUGGUUGACAUA